AGCUUUGCACAGUGGCAGUAUCCUAGCCAAUGAGGUUUAUCCGAGGCGCGAUUAUUGCUAAUUGAAAAGGACUACGGUAAGGAUUCUUGUGGUGAUGGACAUGUUCUAUUGCAAAAUUAAAAGUUUAUUUUCAAA
Molecule: small nuclear RNA, 135 nt
Organism: Mirounga angustirostris (Northern elephant seal)
Lineage: Eukaryota; Metazoa; Chordata; Mammalia; Carnivora; Phocidae
Product: U4 spliceosomal RNA
Exons: 1
Source: RefSeq, a predicted model, not a curated record